UACCGAGGUUUUCCUCGGCAGUUUACUGCAGCCGGUUUCAAAUUCCCCGGCAGUUAACUGCUGAGGGGAAA
RNAcentral lists this microRNA precursor (71 nucleotides) under Medicago truncatula (barrel medic). RNAcentral's name for it is "MIR2629 microRNA precursor family". It matches the Rfam family "MIR2629 microRNA precursor family". The record is from Rfam by way of RNAcentral. Lineage: Eukaryota; Viridiplantae; Streptophyta; Magnoliopsida; Fabales; Fabaceae.